Cygnus olor (mute swan) is the source of this 3704-nucleotide RNA transcript. It is a transcript of the gene named NPHS2 stomatin family member, podocin, with no coding region annotated. The record is from RefSeq and is a predicted model, not a curated record. The transcript has 9 exons. NCBI's taxonomy places the organism in Eukaryota, Metazoa, Chordata, Aves, Anseriformes, Anatidae.
CCAAUUUCUCGAAGGAAACAAUAUUUAAACCCUAAUGACAAUAUUAUUAAGGGUGGCCUCGCAUGUUUUAGUCCCGUCUGAGAGGAGAAUCUGUGGUGGAGUGCCUUUCCCAAGGGCAAAGCAUCACAAACUGGGUUGCAGUACCUGUUUUCCCAAAGGUUGGAGGUUACUUGAGAAACCCACUUGAGGAUCUGGUUGAUUUCCACACAGGGAUAUGUUUCAGGGUGACAGUGGGGACUAAAGAUAGAGGUUUCAGGGUAACAGUCUGCAAACCCACCUCAGCAUAUGCCCUCAAAGCACCUCCUUGGUCCUGAGGUAACAUCCAAAAGUGCCCCAGAGGGACUGAGGACUUAGGAGUCAUUGGCUGAAAGAAUGUCAGACACAACCAGAAAGCUGCAGGUUUUUUUAAGAUUUAAAGAGCCUUGUGGAGCUUUUGGAAAUAAAUGGGCCAGAGUUAGCGCUGCCUGGCCAAAACCAAGCUUGAGACAUUGUUCACUGCUACUUAAACCACCUGCACUUCCAGCAGCUGAAGACUGUCUCCACCUCUCUGAGUGUUAAACACAAAGUAAAACAAGUCUCUGGAACAUCUCCAAAGCAAAUACAGGAAGUAUGAAUUUAUUAAUUACAGCCUAUUUCCACCCAACUUUUCUCACCUUCCAUUAGUCCUCUACAUUCAUCACUCCCCCAGUGACCUGCUGAUGAGGCACGAAGCAUGACAGAGCAGAGAAAGCGAUGAGCUGGCGCUCCUGCCAUCCCUGCUUCUAAUAUCCUGACUCUGGGCAGGCCAAAAGCCUCCAAUAAGACAGGAAUCUGUGAAAAAACAAGAGCAGCACCUCCCUGACUGUCUUCCUGCUCCCUCCAGCAGCUCCUCCGCGUAACACAUCUCCCUGCCAGAGGCCAAGUGGGAAGCCCUGAGCUCAGCACUGCCUGACUGACGAGGAAGUUACGGCUUUUAUGUUCCAGCCUUGUCUUGCUGUAGUGUGAUUUCCAGUCAGGUGCUGAUUUCUUUAAUACAGUCAGUGACAUAGUGUGAUCUAUAGCACUUUAGAAGUGUUUCUUGCAAAGGUUUCCACAGAUGCCACCACAGUCUGCGCAGUGUGGCAGCUCUUUCUCUGACAGAAAAAACUCCUGUGUUUGUGCUGCCUCACUCCUGCUGUGGAAAACUACGGAGGCAUUUUACACACAAACUUUUCUGGCAAUUUAGAAAGAUUUAUUGACCCUAUCCUAGCAAUGACCUCCCUGCUUUUCACCCAUUCUGGAAGGUUUGGGGCUGAACUGGGAACAGCUAGUUCAUCUCCCUGCUAAAAGGUGUAGUGACCCAAGAGAAAUUUUGCUGUCAAUAUCCCACCACUGUGACAGCCAGGUUUUUUAAGGAACAGACCUAAUAGCAUGAGAUGCUAUUCACCUCGCUAUUCUCAGCAACAGCCCUUCCAAACACUCAGAUAAGCCACAGAUCUCACUAGUACGUUUUUUUUUUUACCCUGGUGUUUAUUGUACCAGUCACUCUCCCCAUCUGAGGUCUUCAGAGCCAAAUAUCUGCCAGUUACUUUUAGGUUGCUUUUCAACAACUUUGUAAAAACCAUCUACUAAAAAUCAUGAGGGCUUUUGAUCAUAUUUGAUUUCCAAGGGCAGGAAGAUACAAACAGAAAGUCCCCCUGGAGGCCACCUUGUUCAGGUCUAACUUUCCUUCCCAUCUCCACAGCAGUGUGAGAUGAGAGCAGAGCAGCUGGGAAACAGCUUGUUCACUUCACUGCCCAUUAUGUCUGACAAGCCUGUGAUAAACUUGGAACAAGCCUCCUUGAUCUGACACCUCCCCUUCUUUCCUCCCCUGCCUGGAUUUCCUGCCUGCAGCAAUAAAUUCAAGCACAAAUUCAACCUACUCCCACAGGAAGCUGCAUGCUCCUCGAUACAGAGAAUCAGAUGAGGAUGGAUAAGAGGUCUCGGAGCUCUUCCAGGGAGUCUCGUAAGAGAAACAGAGAGCCCCUGGCUACACAGAAGAAACGAGAGAAGAGGGAGAGCAGCAGAGAAGCCAACAAAGAAACAGGAGAUGUAAAACAGGAGAAAACAAAGGAGAUCAAGAGCAUCGCAGGGACUGAUGGUCGGGUGCACACAUCCACGGUGGUGGACGUGGAUGAUGUGAUAUCUGAUGAAGAAAUGGAGGCAAUGAUGUUGCUGGACAGCGAGCGUCAUGAAGAAGGUAUAAAGUCACCAGGUCUCGGCAUCUGCGAGUGGCUUCUGACUAUCUUGUCUUUCCUGUUCAUCGUAAUGACCUUCCCCAUUUCCGUCUGGUUCUGCAUGAAGGUAGUGCGGGAAUACGAGAGAGCCAUCGUUUUCCGCCUUGGGCGUCUCCUUCCUGGCAGAGCCAGAGGGCCUGGCCUUUUCUUUUUUCUCCCCUGCCUGGACACGUAUCACAAGGUGGACCUCCGCCUGAAAACCCUAGAGAUCCCCUUCCACCAGGUGGUGACUAAAGACAUGGUUACCUUGGAGAUAGAUGCCGUCUGCUACUAUCGUUUGGAGAAUGCCUCUCUUCUCCUCACCACCCUGACCAGCAUCUCCAGUGCCAUCCAGCUGCUGGUGCAGACCACCACAAAGCGCCUCCUGGCACAUCGAGCCUUCUCUGAAAUUCUCUUGGAGAGAAAGAGCAUCAGCCAGGAGAUAAAGGUGGCUUUGGACGCGGUCACAGGCCUCUGGGGCAUCAAAGUGGAGAGAACAGAAAUCAACAACGUGCAGCUGCCUGCUGAAGUCCGGCAGUCCCUGGCCGUGGAAGCAGAGGCCCAGAGGCAGGCCAAAGUGCGGGUGAUUGCUGCUGAGGGGGAAAAGGCUGCUUCUGAGUCCCUGCGCAUGGCAGCUGAGAUCCUGUCGAGUGCCCCUGCUGCUGCUCAGCUCCGUUACCUUCAUGCCCUGCACUCCCUUGCUGCAGAGAAACCUGCUGCCUUCAUCUUGCCCCUGCCUUUGGACCCCAUGAAUCUGAUCUCUCCAGCUACCCACAGCCCUCCGGGAGUGAGCGGCCUCACCACAGACACCACAAAACUCCCAGAAGGUGUUAAAGACAAGAAGGACUCACCCAUGCUCUAAGAGUUGUCCCAGAAAAGGUUGCCACAGUCCAUGGUCAAUCCUGCUCAGAGAGGAGCAAGAAGGCUGAUCUACAGGCAGCCAACCAGCAGAUCCAGCUGAGAAAGGAGGCAAGGGAAUGCAUUCAUCCCCAACAAAUGUGCCACCUAAGGAAAUCAUUGCCACACCACAUGGGCAGGACCAGUACAUGAGCAGUGUUCAAAGAACUGGAGACAGCAAGAGUAUCCUGUGCUACAAACACAAAAGGUAUGUGAGUGUGAAGGGACCUGGAACUUUCUUUUCUACCCAAAACAUAGUGGUCCUAAGCAGAUCUUUUUGACUGUAACAGGGACCGCUUACUUACAAGGAAGAUGAAGCCAAUUACAGUGGUUUCCUAUAUCUAGAGUAGAUAUAGACCCUGUGUCAUAUGUCAAAAUCAAACCAAAUGACUUUCAAAAACAGAUGGAGUUCAGCAUUUUUUUCUGCCCCAAUCUGGAAUUAUGGUAAAAGCCUCCUUGCUUGGCCUCUGCCAAUGAGUCUAGACAAAACCCUAGGAACUGUGCAGGAGGAAAGGGGCCUGCACUAAAUGGGACACAUGAACGAGGUACCCUCAAAGAUUGCUUCCCUCUCUGAGUCCAGGAGAGGGUCCAGAA